Molecule: ribosomal RNA, 253 nt
Filed under: uncultured bacterium
Lineage: Bacteria
Description: partial 16S ribosomal RNA
Rfam family: Bacterial small subunit ribosomal RNA
Source: RNAcentral
UACGUAGGGCGCAAGCGUUGUCCGGAAUUAUUGGGCGUAAAGAGCUCGUAGGUGGCGUGUCGCGUCUGCCGUGAAAGCCCAUGGCUUAACUGUGGGUCUGCGGUGGAUACGGGCAGGCUGGAGGCUGGUAGGGGCAAGCGGAAUUCCUGGUGUAGCGGUGAAAUGCGCAGAUAUCAGGAGGAACACCGGUGGCGAAGGCGGGUCUCUGGGCCGAUACUGACGCUGAGGAUCGAAAGCGUGGGGAGCGAACAGG